AUUAAAUUAAAAAUAGAAAAUAAAAAAUCCCUUGUGUUUUUCUCUCUCUACCGUUCAUUCUCUUUCCCAAAUGAAAACCAUGGCAGCCAUGGCAGUCACCACCAUGGUCAUCCCCUUUCUCUCUCCUCAUCCCCUUCACUACCCCUAUUCCUAUUCCUCUCCCCUUCACCAACCUAUGAAAAUAAACAGACCCAAUUCGCAGAGCCUUAUAUACGGGAUUUGAUCUGGUGCAUCACAACUCCAUCAAACAAGAAACUGUAACAGUGAUACUAAAAUUGGAGGUGGGGCUGCAUUGAAGACCCGCUUGCCGCGGCUGUUACGGCCGUGCUCCGAUCGAUUUUCGUCUUCCCCUGCUUUUUCCGCCGAUGCACCUCCUCUCCUUCUCAAUUUUUCGGCACCGCCGCAGCAGGUUGGUUGUCGGUAUGAGUUGUUGUUGCUUCAAUCACCUCUUCAUUAAUUUCAAGAAAUCAAAAUCAAUUAUUGUGAAGGUAUAUCUUGGAAGAUUAAUUUGGAGAUGAAAUUCUCGAAUGUCUGUGGAAUUGAUGAGAGGGAUUUUGUCAGUGUUAUUGAAAGGGACUAAGGGUAAAUUAAUUAGUUGAAGUAACCCAAUUGCACUCCUCCUCUCCAAUUGUAUUUAUGGUUGAUUUAAUUUCCAGAAUUUUAGUUCUCUCUCCAUAUGUUCCCUGAACUUGUGAGGGUUUGUUUGAUUUUUUUUCCCCAAAAUUUGUAAGGGAAAGAGGAGAGGAAGCUCAGAAAAUCAGAGAAGUUGCAGAGGCAGGCACAUGCGAGGUAGGAGACGACAGUAGACAUAUCGAUGGUGUGGCAGGGAUUAGACAUCCAUGGAAGAAGGAGAAAGGGAAGAUCCAUGGAAGAAAGAGAAAGGGAAGAUAAAAGGGGCGAGGAGGAAGGUUAGUGGUGGGUUGGCAGUUGAUUUUUUUUAAUAGUAAAUUAGAUUAAUUAGGAGUUAAUUAGUUUAGUUAAGAAAAAAGUUAACGGAAAAGUUAACGGAGCUGACGGAAAAUCUUCAUUAAUGGCAUAUUGUGUAUUAAGUUUAUGAAUAA
Molecule: long non-coding RNA, 1061 nt
Organism: Spinacia oleracea (spinach)
Lineage: Eukaryota; Viridiplantae; Streptophyta; Magnoliopsida; Caryophyllales; Amaranthaceae
Exons: 2
Source: RefSeq, a predicted model, not a curated record